UAUGGAAGCUUCGUAUCACUCAAGGAGGUCGAUCAUGUUAUAUUUAUAGUCACUAGCAGAGAUACACCGCCUUUUUGCAACCGGUGCUAAGAAAGCGUCGCUAAAUCUCACAACUUCUAGCACCAGCUGCUACAACCGAGGCUAGAAAUGACAAAUAGCACCGACCAGUGAUAUCAUCCGGUGCUAAAACACCCAACACCAAAUAAAAAAUCCCGCAAGCCACCGCCGCCGUUCCUCGUCGCCCACUUGUUGUGUCGCCGCCAUCGGAGCUUUCACCGUGCCAUGGAGGCCACCGCGGCUGAGCUCGCCCCGCGCCAUGACGCUUGACGGCGUCCAGGCAGCACCCAACCCGUCGCGGGUCUCUAGAUCGAAGAUCCACAGUCCAUCGGCCCUGUGCAAGAAUAAUAGAAUGGGGGAGAAGAACGGGGAGGCAGGCCGCCCAACCAACAAAUCAAGAAGGGAAGGAGGUGGAUUACCUGAGAAGAAGUCUGGAUCUGAGGUCGGAAGCUACGAGGUGGUCAUCGCCAAACACUUGCAUCAGUUCAGCACGCCCAAACCUUGUUGCGAUUAAGAGAAAAAAUCAAAAGAAAGGAAACGAUCUGGACUCAUGUUCGUGAUUUAGAUUGGGCGUUAGCAUGUGGAUUGAGCGGAGCGUGUACCUGCAUGCGGAGCUCCUUGGCUUUCUCCAUGACGCUCAGCGUCGUGCGCUUGAGGUCCACCUCCACGAACGGUAGCACUUCCGCGCGCGCCUGAAUCGACCCAGCCCUCGUUAGUUCAGUGACACACACCAAUAACCGGAAUCCACCUCGAGCUCGAGGUGGUGGAAGCCAUGGAGGCGGGGAAAAGGGAUACGACUAUACGACGUGUGUCACACCCGGUUUUGGAAGGUAAACCGAAUGCGAACUAUGUACGUGCCAGGAUCAGAACUCACGUACACAACGAUUAUAUAAUUGGACAUCAUCACACAAUGCUUGAAUUAAAUAGCGGAAAGGUACUUAGUUACAUCAAGAUAUCGGAGACAUCCAUAGAGUCUAUUACAUAAACAUAGUGUUUAACAAUAACAUCAAAGUGUGGAGUAACGAAACGUAGAAUGUAAGCCUACACAGGCAGCUGACUGGGGGUUUGCCACUAAAAUAAACUAGAACCCGUCGUAGUCCUAGAACUCCUCAAAGUCCUCCAUGUUACCAGCUUCACCUCCUGAGCACUGAGAACAGUGGGGACAACCUGGGGUGGGGUGGUUUGUAAAGCAAGGGUGAGUACACUUCAACGUACUCAGCAAAUGUCCCGUUUGGCUAAAGUGGACUAGCUGUAUGUGGAGUUUAAGGUUAAGCAGUUGCUUUUAGUUAGUCAAGUUUUAUUACUAUAAGUAGAGCCAAGUUUUAGUAAUAACCCAGUUAUUACCCAGAGGCACUCCCUCCAAGAGGAAAUACCAGAGAUCAGAAUUAUAAUCACCAUUGUUAAUCAUCAUCACAAAAGUAACCAUUGUUCUUCUAAUCGAAGAGGAUCCCAAGGCUGCUCAUAACCGUGAGCACGGCUGAUAUACCAGUUUCUAACACUCUGCAGAGGUCGCACACUUUACCCACAAGUCAUGAUUCCCAUUCUGCCCGGGGUUCUAGCCUCUCCAUUGAUCACUACCAAGGUGACCUAGCAGGGUCUCACUACGUAGCCUUUACAAAGAUUUCCCAGAGGUCAUAGUCGCCCGUUAGGUUUCUCCAGUUUGAUAAACACAGUACAUCUCCCUAGAGGAAGGGUGACUAACAAAACCAAAUCAAAGAACCUCUGCAACCAGCCUCGGCAGAGCAAGUAUUGUGCCCGGACCCCAUUGACGGCCCUACGGCGAAGCCAACUACUCAUCUGGUUCCUCUAAUUAAUCAGCUAAAGGCGUCUCAGCUGUCUCAUUCCACCCUCAUGGUUGCACUGUUAUCCCGGGUUGUCACUCCCCAAACAGCCUGAGUCCCCUAAAGUAAUCAUAAGGACCCCAUCGGGAUAACAUCAUCGUAUCAUAAAAGAUCAUAUCAUGUUCAUUGAUUAAGUUAAAGCAAUAGCAUAAGCUAACCAUGAUUAGCCCAAAAAGGUAAACAAGGGUAAGGUAAAUACAGACUAGUGAAUCCUUAAGUUUCAAUAAUGUAAUGCGGGACAGUGGAUUAUAAAGUAAAGUAGGACAUGAUAGGUCUGAGGACACUUGCCUUCACCAGCUUGUUGUUCAGGGAGGUCUCCAACAACACACUCAGGAACCUCGAAUUGUUCGUUGUCUAAGUAAAGCGAGCAUACAUUCAAUACAUUUAGAAAAGUAUAAAUGAACAGCACAUCAAACAUGUACAAACAUUGGCACAUAACUCAAAAAGGUAUAAUAUUAAGUGUAGGAGAAUGAUAUCAAGUUAUAAAAAUGGACUAAUCCUAAUUGGGAAAUUGAUUACUCUCUAAAUGUUUGGAACAUAGCUCAAAAAGGUUAAGUAGUGAUUAAAACAAAGGAAAGCUAGAAUUAUAAUAUAAACUACUCUCAUUUAGGAAUUUGAUUAUCUUUUAAGUAUUAUCCAUAAUUACAUUCCUAAUUCUAUUUAUGUCAUUAAGGCCUAAAGGUUAAGCCAACACUAAAUCCAAGUAAUGCAUAACACUAAUCUCACAAGAUUGAAUAUACUUUAUUCCUAGGGUUCUCCUUUUAUUUAUUUCAUUAAAUAAAUAAAUCAACUUAUACUUUAAUUCUAUAUUCUAAGUGUAAAAAUUAAAGUAUACAGAUUACAGUUGGUCAUAUUUUAUUUGAACAAAGAAUAAUUUGGUGAACAUUUUGCAAUUUGAACCACUAAAUUUGGAGUUCAUAUGAAAAAGAUAUGAAAUAAACAAGUUUUGAAGUUUGAAAUAUGAAAUUAGGGCUAAAUCUGUGAUUAAAUAAAAGUCUAGGGGUCUAAUUAAAACAAACCACGGACCUAUGCGUUAAAACAGAGGACGGCAGGUUGAUUUCCAAAAACCAGGGGGGUUCUUAAGCAAAACAACCACGCGAAGGGGUAUCGGGCUCACUCAACCGUUGGAUCAGAAACCGACGGCUGAGAUUAGAUCGUGCGGGCGGGCGCGCGGGCACGGCUGAUAAGCGGGGCUAGGGCGUCAGCGGGUCAGGGUGGGCUGACCGGUCGGGCCCAGAGGCAGAGGCGCGGGUGAGGGGGAGAGAGGGGGGCGGUCAGAUCCCGAUCGAAGGGCUAGGAUUAGUGUGACAGAACCUAGCAAGUCAUUAGGCCCACCUACAGUUUUCCUUGUCCAACAGACCUCAGACAACCCUGCAGGUGCCCCUGAAUCACUUGACAAGUUCGGUAUCUGUAUUCCUUACCUUUUCCAAGAGCGUUUCACCCGUCACGCAGAUAUUACAAUACAUCGGAGGUACGAAAAUGCGGAAGCAAUUACAAUAACUUACCAUAUAUUAAAAGUAAGAAAGAGUUGGUUUAUUAUAGACCAGAAAUAAAUAUAAGAGUGCUGAGUAUUAUUAUUACAUCACUGGGAGGCAAAAACCCCUCCCGAUAGACAUUAAACAAAAGUUUGAACGGAGGAUCCUUUCCUCCUGAAGCUUCACUCCUGGCUUUCUUCUUUGGGAACCACCUUUGAACAAAAGCAGCAAAAGUUUGCCGCUUCCUCACCUAAAACCACAUGGGACAAAGCCCUGAGUACGAAGUGUACUUUCGCAAGACUUACCCGACAAAGUAAAAGACUCUCAAGGAUAUGCUGGCUUUAAGGAAGUCAAGGUAAGGCUUAUUAAUAAUCAAUGACUCUGUUUGCAGAAAUGCUUACAAAUAGUGGAUCCUUAAAAAUCCAGUUUUAUUUGUCAGGUUAAGUAAAAUUACCUGCAACUAGAGUUCUUUCUACCCUAGUUCAAUCACUUGACCUGCACUAGCCAAUUUCUUAACAACCCUUCAUCUUCACUGGAGUUCUACGUAUAGGGCAGUGACCAAGUCUUCAUAUCCGCGAAGUUACGACGAUCCAAAUCGAUUAUACUCAGCUGAAGAUCUCCAAUCACACGACAUAUGUAGCACUUAACCCUUGCAUAUGUCAACUCGCCACCGGGGUUCUUAAGACCAGAUCAGGUUCACGCCAACCGAGAGCACAGAUACACCACCGUCCAGCCUAUUGCCACGGAGGGUACACGCUACUCUCGCCAUCUCUCCACUCCCAUUGCGUGUUAUCUUAAUCUGGUAUUAGUCUGCCCGAGGCAAAGCUUACCCAUGACGAGGCAUAUGACCAGUUAAAGGGUCCUCGGUCAGCAAGCCUACAUCGAGACGGUACUUAAUCGACUCAGACGGAGACACUACACCGAGACUCUCUUCUCGUGCAAGUCACCCGCCCGGUCUCAGCUUUAUCAUUUCAGCCCAAAGUUUGGUACCUGGCAGAGGUACAUCUUUUCCGAUGUUGAACCCAUCAUGGAUCCACCAUCAAGUUUUAUUUUCGAAAACAUCCCAACCCCUUUGAAGCACCAUCCUUUGUGAAAACAAAUUAUUUUGUUUUUCUAAAGCAAGGCUAAGCAUAAGAAAAACCUUUUGUGAAACAGGGAUUUAAGAGGUAAUCAAAUCCAAGGAAGGAAAUGCAGGAAUUGGUUUAGCACACAACUCCUAUUACCUAAUGCAUCAAGUAAGUGAGAAAGAUUUUAAAAGCAACAAGGAGGUGGCAAAUGCACCGGGGCUUGCCUUGUGUUACUGGUGAAUCAGGCUCUGUUCCACAGAUAUCAAAAUAAAAGCAGUUGCCUGCCUGAUGUUCCUCAGGUGGUGGUGAAGUCUUCGCUUCUUCGACUUCUACUUACUCUUCGUUUUCUAAAUAUAGCCAUACAUAAUAAUGAAUGCCCAUGUAAUGCUCAUGAGAGUGCAAAGAUAAUAAAAGUUUAUUAUCUAAAGUCUUGAAUACAACUUUCCUUUACGGAUCUCCGAGAACUUAGUGUUUUCGGAGUUAAUAGUGAGGUUCAUAGGGCAGGGGAUAGGGUUUUGGGUUCUAAGUAUCAAACAUGGUCCAAAUCAUACCAAACUUUACCCAAGGCUUCUAAAUAUUAUUUAGAGUUUACCCUAAAAGUUUAGUAAAUUUUGGAUUUAUUAUUUAUCCUCUAAAAAUCCAGAAGCAAGGUUUUUGGCUAUUUUAAAUACUCUAUAAUUUCCUUUUUGGACUAAAAAUCAUGAAACUAUUUUUAUUAAAUUCUAUAGUAAAUUAGAAGUCUAGCAAAAUUGGUCUGGUAUUUUUAGGAUUUUUCUACAAUUUCUUAUAGAUUUCCAAAGUCCAAUAGAAAAAGAAAAAGGAACAGUUCUGGGCUGAAUCCGACCCGAACCGGCCAGCUAGGGCAGAAGCGCGCCCACGCGCGCGCCCGCGUGCAAACUUUGCGAAUAGACCCCCUGCGUUUUGAAUAACUCGAUCUGAGUUCCCUGCACUAUUUCUGUGAGUCGCUGACACUUGCAGAAAAAUCCCUGCACUUCCAUUUCUUCACAGUUUGAAGUCCCCGACGGCGAACGUCGCAACUAGAGUUUUUUUUUGAGUUUGUGUCAUUCCCUCUCCAAAGGCAAUGUUUCCUGUAAAUGUCAAUCUUUUUGAUGAUAGAAGCUGGAAUCUUGAGUGUACACAUAAAGAAGGUUGGCAAUGCUGAAAAAACUGAGUUUACCAACUACAGUCGUCCAGCUUUAGAUAAGAAUUUAGAGGAACAGGUUAAUCUCCUUUCGAUUCUGUGUAUCAGUGGAAGAAAAUGCUGAAGUCUUGGCUUUGAAAAACCCAAAGGUAGACCAAGGUAGGUAAAUGACAUUGAUCCGGUCUGACAAUUGAACGUUCUUGAGAGAAUCUCCAUUUUUUCAGAGUUAACAUUAAUUGGAUAGAUGCUUGAUUUGUUGUGGUUCACUCUGAGACCUGAUGAUGCUGCAAAUGUAUUGAGGAUGCCUUUUAGGAAAAAUAAAAGAUUUGGACAUGCUUCCAUUAUCAAAAGGGUGUCAUCUGCAUAUUGGACAAUAGGAAAAUCUUCUCAUCGCGCUCCUCAAGCGCUUCCCUAGCGUCUUCGAGGUUGUCGAGGAGGGCGUCUACUCCCCGCUGUCGUCGCUCCCCGCCUUGCUCUAUCGCGGCCGUGCCUCGCCGCCACACGUCCACCGCCCGAGAUCCCGGUCGACGCUCCGGCCUGAUCUCCAUUUUUGGCCUUCGGUUGGAGAUCGGCACUUCUCGGUGAUGUCCCUUUGGCUGCACGGCCACCCGAUCGGGUGUUUGGGUCUUUGAUUUGGGUCUGUAGCGUUGGAGAUACCCCCCUUCAAACUGCUGUCGGUCCGGAAGUCGUGCCUCCUAGCCGCCCACGCUCGCCGUCCGUGAUCCGUUCUCGACUGUUGGUGCUCCGGACUCACAGUCCAUAUUGAUGGCUACAUUAUCAUGGUGGAUGGAAUGGUCGGUGGAGAAUGUUCGUGAGGCAUUUUUCUCCUAUUUCGGGGAAAAUCAGCACGUGAGGUUGCCAUCUCCUAGUGAUGUUCUAUUUAAGGCCACCUUCUCAUUACCUAUUGAUGGCUCGUUCUUCAAUAUGCAGAAAUACAAGUUACCUCAGUCUAGAAUAUAUGCCUCAUACUUUAGUGGUGAUAUGUCCUCUUGUUUGAGUUCGGUCGACGAGUCAAGAAAUACCUUGCAGAAAUAUAUAGGAGCAGAAAAAUCUUGCCUUCCAUGUCCAAGGUUGAUUUUUGGAUGCCCGGUGAAACUGGUCCUUGUGGGCCAUGUAUUGGUUUUUUUCCUUGAUUGUUCGGACAACAAUGAUGGUGUUGAUUCCGUAAGGAACAUAACGGAUGGCAAGCUUGUUGACAUAUGCCGUCUUGUGUUUGUUGAGUUCGAUCGGCAAGCAGAUGGCGUCUUGGAGCCUUUCCAAGCUAAGCAUGUCUUAACAGGGAUUAAUCUUGAAUGUUUAGCUGCCAUUCUUCAAAAGAAAGAAAGCCACUAUGACUUGGAUGUAUACGCUUAUGUAAUUCGUCAAGUCUAUUGGGUAAGUUUUCCGUGUCCACUUCAAGUUACAAUAGCUGGCUGUGUAAUAUUAUUGAUUUCCAUGGUCAAUGACAUUUAAUAAUAUGCAUCGUACUUGUAAAGGUUUCAAGGAUUACACAGGUAAGGUUGGUGCUGCUGAUACAGAUGGAGUUGAUACGGCAUACCGCCUAGUCGCAGAUCACAUGAGAAUGAUCGCUGUUACUAAUGCACCCGGUUCUCAACUUGGUUAGAGCGUUAUGUUUCUGUUGGUCACGAAUGUUAAUAUAGUUACGACAUCAAUGUAGGGGUUUGUCAUGAGCACGAGUACAAUUAUUGGUCAUUUUCAAGGAACAAUCAGACCAAUCUGAUUGUUGGAUGACUUAUUACAUGAAUACAUUUUUUUGUCAUUAUAUUGUUCUUAUUGUGUUAAAAUUGGCUUUCAUCUGUAUGAAUACCAGGGUUAGGAAAUGAAGGUCGCGAGUAUUUCCUGAAGUGUGCUGAUAAACAGGCUGUGAAGUAUGGCUAUCAAGUACUUAAGAUAAAUGAAGAGGAUUACGACAUGAUGUCUUCUUCAAUGCACCGGUGCAAAUAACAGAGCAUCCAUGUUGUUGAUGCAAUUCUUCUAAAUGAACCUGAUUUAUGUACCGAGCUUGAAAAAGAAAUAAUCGACAGAAUAGUCAAAGAUGAAGUGAUGAUCUACAAAAAGACUAAAGCAGAGUUGCGGAAUCAGGAACAGCCGUUUGAUAUGGGGAAAAAGAAGAAAAGGAACAAAAAUGUCCCUGCUGUUGUGUGGUAUCCGACAAGGGUUAUCGAAUUUCUUGGUCGGCGCACACCCAUUAUCCUCAAGGAAAAGGAUACACGGUGCUCCCUAGUAGCAAUAUGCAACGUUCUCCUGCUUGGAGAGAAAAUAACCCUCGAUUUAGAUAUCAAGAAAGUGUUGGAGAGCCAUCUCAUCCAUCUUGUCCAGAG
This is a long non-coding RNA of Zea mays, 7902 nucleotides long. RefSeq lists it as uncharacterized. The transcript is spliced from 8 exons. Lineage: Eukaryota; Viridiplantae; Streptophyta; Magnoliopsida; Poales; Poaceae. The record is from RefSeq and is a predicted model, not a curated record.